This 608-nucleotide ribosomal RNA is filed under the name uncultured bacterium. RNAcentral's name for it is "bacterial SSU rRNA". It matches the Rfam family "Bacterial small subunit ribosomal RNA", at positions 903 to 1502 of the family's 1533-position model. The record is from RNAcentral.
AAUUUGAGGGGGGCCCGGCACAAGCGGUGAGCAUGUGGUUUAAUUCGGACGCAAANGAGAAGANCUUUACCAAGGUUUUAAACUGACUUGGACAGUUGCAGAGAUGUACCCUUCCCUUUUUAGGGACUGGGUCAGAGGUGCUGCAUGGCUGUCGUCAGCUCGUGUCGUGANAUGUUGGGUUAAGUCCCGCAACGAGCGCAACCCUUGCCCGNAGUUGCCAUCAGGUUAUGCUGGGCACUCUACGGGGACUGUCGGCNAAAAGCCGGAGGAAGGUGGGGAUGACGUCAAGUCCUCAUGGCCUUUAUGCCUCGGGCUACACACGUGCUACAAUGGGCGGUACAAAGGGCAGCCAACUCGCAAGAGUGAGCGAAUCCCAAAAAGCCGUUCACAGUUCGGAUUGCAGUCUGCAACUCGACUGCAUGAAGUUGGAAUCGNUAGUAAUCGCGGAUCAGCAUGCCGCGGUGAAUACGUUCCCGGGCCUUGUACACACCGCCCGUCACAUCACGGAAGUGGGCUGUACUAGAAGUCGCUGGGCUAACCUUCUUCGGGAGNAGGCAAGCGCCGACGGUAUGGUUCAUGAANGGGGUGAAGUCGUAACAAGGUAGCCG